CCCAGACUCCUACGGGAGGCAGCAGUGGGGAAUAUUGCACAAUGGGGGGAACCCUGAUGCAGCAACGCCGCGUGAGUGAAGAAGUAUUUCGGUAUGUAAAGCUCUAUCAGCAGGGAAGAAAAUGACGGUACCUGACUAAGAAGCUCCGGCUAAAUACGUGCCAGCAGCCGCGGUAAUACGUAUGGAGCAAGCGUUAUCCGGAUUUACUGGGUGUAAAGGGAGCGCAGGCGGUACGGCAAGUCCGAUGUGAAAGCCCGGGGCUCAACCCCGGGACUGCAUUGGAAACUGCCGCACUAGAGUGCCGGAGAGGUAAGUGGAAUUCCUAGUGUAGCGGUGAAAUGCGUAGAUAUUAGGAGGAACACCAGUGGCGAAGGCGGCUUACUGGACGGUAACUGACGCUGAGGCUCGAAAGCGUGGGGAGCAAACAGGAUUAGAUACCCUCGUA
This 445-nucleotide ribosomal RNA is filed under the name uncultured bacterium. RNAcentral describes it as "bacterial SSU rRNA". It matches the Rfam family "Bacterial small subunit ribosomal RNA", at positions 330 to 792 of the family's 1533-position model. The record is from RNAcentral.